RNAcentral lists this ribosomal RNA (253 nucleotides) under uncultured bacterium. RNAcentral describes it as "partial 16S ribosomal RNA". It matches the Rfam family "Bacterial small subunit ribosomal RNA", at positions 524 to 776 of the family's 1533-position model. The record is from RNAcentral.
UACGUAGGGUGCAAGCGUUGUCCGGAAUUAUUGGGCGUAAAGAGCUCGUAGGCGGUCUGUCGCGUCUGCUGUGAAAACUCGGGGCUUAACCCCGGGCCUGCAGUGGGUACGGGCAGACUAGAGUCCGGAAGAGGCGAGUGGAAUUCCUGGUGUAGCGGUGGAAUGCGCAGAUAUCAGGAGGAACACCAACGGCGAAGGCAGCUCGCUGGGACGGUACUGACACUGAGGCGCGAAAGCGUGGGGAGCGAACAGG